RNAcentral lists this long non-coding RNA (262 nucleotides) under Elaeis guineensis (African oil palm). Its description in RNAcentral is "long non-coding RNA (EGUI_LNC004063)". Lineage: Eukaryota; Viridiplantae; Streptophyta; Magnoliopsida; Arecales; Arecaceae. The record is from RNAcentral.
CCCUCAGUGAAGAGUGAGAUCUUCGGCCAGUGGGUAAUUUUGAUCCAGCUCACAAAUAAACAUGAGGAUACGCAUGUACGAAGUUUGUGGACAAUCACAACCCAACAAAUAUGUGAGCACUCCAACAGAGUUCUUCAAUCUUGUUGGAGGUUGGUCAGUGUUGCAAGGUAUAGAUUAGCAUCAUGUAAGGUGGUCGGCGCUACUGAAUGGACAGGGGGUGCACAGGGAGGUCCUUCAAUUGGGUUUGCAUACUUUGGUUGGC